RNAcentral lists this long non-coding RNA (485 nucleotides) under Cyanistes caeruleus (blue tit). Its description in RNAcentral is "lncRNA (ENSCCEG00000002288.1)". The record is from RNAcentral. Lineage: Eukaryota; Metazoa; Chordata; Aves; Passeriformes; Paridae.
UGCUGACUGAUUCGUGGCAGUCUGGGUUUUUUUCAAACUUAGAAAGCCACCCAAACACACAAUCACUGAGUAAUUACCAUACAUGUCUAGGACCUAAAUAAAUAAAAGUGCUUGCCCUGCACUUUUCUGAUCCAAAGCAUAGUAGACUCUGAGUAAUCACUUCUAAACCUGUGUUUCAGAUGUUUGUGUUGCUUUCCUGGGCUGGCCAACAAGAAAGCUGAGGUGGAGGAUGAGUCUGAUGUCCUGGAAAAGCCAUAGAGUCAGAAUGAGAGAGCACAGCUAAGCAGGGAGAUGGAUGGCCACUCACUCUGCAUGGAGCAGCAGGACAUCGGAGUCUUGUCACCUGGAGCCAUCUCUCAUCCCCAAAACUGAACGACCAUUGCUGGGUAUGGCAGGAUGCAAAGACCUGGUGAGCUACCCCUUCUGUGUCCAAUGGAGAAAGGCUGGAAAGCUGCUAAAAAGGGGAAAGAACAGGCCAAUGUCCU